AUCUUCGGCAAUGGGCGCAAGCCUGACCGAGCGACGCCGCGUGGGGGAUGAAGCCCCUCGGGGUGUAAACCCCUUUCAGGGGGGAAGAACCCCCGAGGAGUCGAACAGGCUCCCCGGGGUGACGGUACCCCCAGAAGAAGGGCCGGCGAACUACGUGCCAGCAGCCGCGGUAAGACGUAGGGCCCGGGCGUUACCCGGAUUCGCUGGGCGUAAAGUGCGCGUAGGCGGCUGGGUGUGUCGUCGGUGAAAGCCCCCGGCUCAACCGGGGAACACCCGGCGAAACUGCCCAGCUCGAGGGCGGGAGAGGCCGGUGGAGCUACCGGAGUAGCGGUGAAAUGCGCAGAUACCGGUAGAAACCUCGGUGGCGAAGGCGGCCGGCUGGCCCGUUCCUGACGCUGAGGCGCGAAAGCGUGGGGAGCGAACCGGAUUAGAUACCCGGGUAGUCCACGCCCUAAACGAUGCCCGCUAGGUGUCGGCCCUUUGAACGAUAGGGUCGGUGCCGCAGCCAACGCGGUAAGCGGGCCGCCCACACAAGCCGGGUUGGAGCAUCUGGUUCAAUUCGGAUGAUAAGCGAAGAACCUUACCCGGGCUUGACAUGCCGGCAGAAGCCUGCCCGAAAGGGCGGGGUGGAAGGGUCCUUCGGGGCCUGGAGGCCGGCACAGGUGCUGCAUGGCUGUCGUCAGCUCGUGCCGUGGGGCGUCGGGUUAAGUCCCGCAACGAGCGCAACCCCUGCCCCUAGUUGCCAGCUCCUCGGGAGGGCUACUCUAGGGGGACCGCCGGCGACAAGCCGGAGGAAGGAGGGGAUGACGUCAAGUCCGUAUGGCCCUUAUGCCCGGGGCGACACAGAUGCUACAGUGGGGGGUACAGCGGGAAGCGAAGCCGCAAGGCGGAGCCAAUCCCUAAAAGCCCCUCGAGGUUCGGAUUGGGGUCUGCAACUCGACCCCAUGAAGCCGGAAUCGCUAGUAAUCGCGGGUCAGCCAUACCGCGGUGAAUGCGUACUUGGGCCUUGUACACACCGCCCGUCACACCAGCCGAGCGGGCGGGCUCUGAAGUCCCGCUCCGGCGGGCCGAGCGAGCCC
RNAcentral lists this ribosomal RNA (1079 nucleotides) under uncultured bacterium. RNAcentral's name for it is "bacterial SSU rRNA". It matches the Rfam family "Bacterial small subunit ribosomal RNA", at positions 361 to 1466 of the family's 1533-position model. The record is from RNAcentral.